UACGGAGGAGGCAAGCGUUAUCCGGAAUUAUUGGGCGUAAAGCGUCCGCAGGUGGCGAUUCAAGUCUGCGGUCAAAGACUGGGGCUUAACCCUGGAAAGGCCGUGGAAACUGAAUAGCUAGAGUGCAGUAGGGGUAGAGGGAAUUCCCGGUGUAGCGGUGAAAUGCGUAGAGCUCGGGAAGAACAUCGGUGGCGAAAGCAGCUCUCUGGGACGGUACUGACGCUGAGACGCGAAAGCGUGGGGAGCGAACAGG
Molecule: ribosomal RNA, 253 nt
Filed under: uncultured bacterium
Lineage: Bacteria
Description: partial 16S ribosomal RNA
Rfam family: Bacterial small subunit ribosomal RNA
Source: RNAcentral